AGUUGUUAUUUCUGCGGCAGACA
Molecule: non-coding RNA, 23 nt
Filed under: Arabidopsis thaliana (thale cress)
Lineage: Eukaryota; Viridiplantae; Streptophyta; Magnoliopsida; Brassicales; Brassicaceae
Source: RNAcentral